CCGCUCCGAGAGCGUCAGAAACUACAUCUCCCAGCCUGCCCCAGGGGCGCUUCCGCCCUCUCCGCAGCUCAGGCUGCAGAAUAAUGUCUAUGUUUCGCUCCAGUUCAUCCCGUCUUCUCAUUGGACUGGUUAGAGAAAUGACUGCAGAGGAGCCAGUUCCGGUAGGUAUUAUCAGAGGGUUGCUGGUGGGUUCCUCCAGGAGGGAGACGGACAGCAAAUACAUGGGAGAUGGGAAGGUUUGCACAGUCUGGUUUGGAGGAAAUGCACAGGGUGGAGAAAGGGAGGAGGACAGGGGUGUGCUAAACCUGCUGGGAGUUAUUUAAUAAGUGGCCUAGAUUCUAGGAACAGACCCAUGAGGUUCGGCAGUGGAAAUGCUCUAGUUUGUGGAGCAGAA
Chelonoidis abingdonii (Abingdon island giant tortoise) is the source of this 394-nucleotide non-coding RNA. Lineage: Eukaryota; Metazoa; Chordata; Testudines; Testudinidae. The record is from RefSeq and is a predicted model, not a curated record.